CCCUUAUGACCUGGGCUACACACGUGCUACAAUGGCUGGUACAACGAGUCGCAAGCCGGUGACGGCAAGCUAAUCUCUGAAAGCCAGUCUCAGUUCGGAUUGUAGGCUGCAACUCGCCUACAUGAAGUCGGAAUCGCUAGUAAUCGCGGAUCAGCACGCCGCGGUGAAUACGUUCCCGGGCCUUGUACACACCGCCCGUCACACCACGAGAGUUUGUAACACCCGAAGUCGGUGAGGUAACCGUAAGGAGCCAGCCGCCUAAGGUGGGAUAGAUGAUUGGGGUGAAGUCGUAACAAGGUAGCCGUAUCGGAAGGUGCGGCUGGAUCACCUCCUUUCUAAGGAA
This 343-nucleotide ribosomal RNA is filed under the name Streptococcus sp. HMSC071H03. RNAcentral describes it as "bacterial SSU rRNA". It matches the Rfam family "Bacterial small subunit ribosomal RNA", at positions 1199 to 1533 of the family's 1533-position model. Lineage: Bacteria; Bacillati; Bacillota; Bacilli; Lactobacillales; Streptococcaceae. The record is from RNAcentral.